Molecule: ribosomal RNA, 550 nt
Filed under: uncultured bacterium
Lineage: Bacteria
Description: bacterial SSU rRNA
Rfam family: Bacterial small subunit ribosomal RNA
Source: RNAcentral
UAGGGAAUCUUCCACAAUGGACGCAAGUCUGAUGGAGCAACGCCGCGUGAGUGAAGAAGGUCUUCGGAUCGUAAAACUCUGUUGUUAGAGAAGAACACGAGUGAGAGUAACUGUUCAUUCGAUGACGGUAUCUAACCAGCAAGUCACGGCUAACUACGUGCCAGCAGCCGCGGUAAUACGUAGGUGGCAAGCGUUGUCCGGAUUUAUUGGGCGUAAAGGGAACGCAGGCGGUCUUUUAAGUCUGAUGUGAAAGCCUUCGGCUUAACCGGAGUAGUGCAUUGGAAACUGGAAGACUUGAGUGCAGAAGAGGAGAGUGGAACUCCAUGUGUAGCGGUGAAAUGCGUAGAUAUAUGGAAGAACACCAGUGGCGGAAGCGGCUCUCUGGUCUGUAACUGACGCUGAGGUUCGAAAGCGUGGGUAGCAAACAGGAUUAGAUACCCUGGUAGUCCACGCCGUAAACGAUGAAUGCUAGGUGUUGGAGGGUUUCCGCCCUUCAGUGCCGCAGCUAACGCAAUAAGCAUUUCGCCUGGGGAGUACGGCCGCAAGGUUG